Molecule: ribosomal RNA, 981 nt
Filed under: Triticum aestivum (bread wheat)
Lineage: Eukaryota; Viridiplantae; Streptophyta; Magnoliopsida; Poales; Poaceae
Description: partial small subunit ribosomal RNA
Source: RNAcentral
AUGGGGAAGCAUAAGCUCACUCUGAAGACCGAGGAGGACUCCAAUCCUCGUGAUAAGUACAUAACCUGGACUGACGAGGCGACAAGGUUUAUGCUUGAAUGGUAUAUCGACCUUCGUAAGGACAAACCUGCAACUUUCAAGUUCAAGAAACAACACCACUUGCAAUGUGCUGAUGCUCUAAAUGGCAAGUUUUCGCUUGGUGUCACUCAAACCCAAGUGGAUCGACACUAUCGUCAAUGCAAGGAGAAGUGGGGCUGGGUGCGUCGUGCCAUGGCCAAUAGUGGAAAUGGCCUUGACAGAACCACUUUCACAUUCACACUUUCUGAGUCAGAAAAGCAAAGACUCAAUAAAACUGCAGUCAAUUAUCUUACCAGACCCAUUAGGUUCUUUCAUCAAUUGGAAGAGUUAUUCUCGGAUCAAUCUCAUGCUGAUGGCUCACUCGCAGUUGACCAAACCACUGUCAAUGUGGAUGAUGGUAGUGAUGACAGCGAGGAUGUGAGGGAACUUGAGGGAAAUCUAAUUCCAGCAGACAGUGAUGAAGCUGACUCUGACACUAUUGAUCGUCGCAGUCCUAAAGUCGACUUGGAUGGCAAUCCAUUAAACAAGAAGCGCAAGUGUGCAUCAUCAUCACCUUCCAAGAAGCCAACCAAGGGCAAAGCAAACAAGAAGGGCAAGGUAUCUAAUGAUGAUAUGGUAACCAGUAUCAAGAAGCUAGCUGAAUCCCUUGCAUCCCCUAUUGUGUCUGUGCAACCAAUGCCACCUGCAGAUCCUUAUGCAAAUCUUUGGAAGCGGAUCAAUGCCCUUACCAUCCCAGCUAAGGAUAAACUUGAGAUUGUUGCCUAUCUAUCCAAGCCAGACCAAGAUAUCUUUCGUAGUUAUCUUAACUAUGCCGAUGAAACAAUUCUUCGAGAGUGGGUCAUUAGCUACUUUGAGCCUCAGUUUCAUGAAGGUGGCAAUGAUGGAUCUGCGGCUGCUCACUGA